AUGAGCCAAGUUUAGAAGCUUCUUUAAAGAGCUUCAUAGCAAGAUUAAACUGAAGAGUUUGAUCAUGGCUCAGAUUGAACGCUGGCGGCAGGCUUAACACAUGCAAGUCGAGCGGAAACGAUGGUAGCUUGCUACCAGGCGUCGAGCGGCGGACGGGUGAGUAACACUUAGGAAUCUACCUAGUAGUGGGGGAUAGCUCGGGGAAACUCGAAUUAAUACCGCAUACGWCCUACGGGAGAAAGGGGGCAGUUUACUGCUCUCGCUAUUAGAUGAGCCUAAGUCGGAUUAGCUAGAUGGUGGGGUAAAGGCCUACCAUGGCGACGAUCUGUAGCUGGUCUGAGAGGAUGAUCAGCCACACCGGGACUGAGACACGGCCCGGACUCCUACGGGAGGCAGCAGUGGGGAAUAUUGGACAAUGGGGGCAACCCUGAUCCAGCCAUGCCGCGUGUGUGAAGAAGGCCUUUUGGUUGUAAAGCACUUUAAGCAGUGAAGAAGACCAUAUGGUU
This 506-nucleotide ribosomal RNA is filed under the name Psychrobacter sp. L7. RNAcentral describes it as "bacterial SSU rRNA". It matches the Rfam family "Bacterial small subunit ribosomal RNA", at positions 1 to 461 of the family's 1533-position model. The record is from RNAcentral. Lineage: Bacteria; Pseudomonadati; Pseudomonadota; Gammaproteobacteria; Moraxellales; Moraxellaceae.